RNAcentral lists this ribosomal RNA (441 nucleotides) under uncultured bacterium. RNAcentral describes it as "partial 16S ribosomal RNA". It matches the Rfam family "Bacterial small subunit ribosomal RNA", at positions 338 to 795 of the family's 1533-position model. The record is from RNAcentral.
CCUACGGGAGGCAGCAGUGGGGGAUAUUGCACAAUGGGGGGAACCCUGAUGCAGCGACGCCGCGUGGGUGAAGGAGUGCUUCGGCAUGUAAAGCCCUAUCGGCAGGGAAGAAGCAAGACGGUACCUGACUAAGAAGCCCCGGCUAACUACGUGCCAGCAGCCGCGGUAAUACGUAGGGGGCGAGCGUUAUCCGGAUUCACUGGGUGUAAAGGGAGCGUAGACGGCCAUGCAAGCCAGGGGUGAAAGCCCGGGGCCCAACCCCGGGACUGCCCUUGGAACUGGGGGGCUAGAGUGCGGGAGGGGCAGGCGGAAUUCCUGGUGUAGCGGUGAAAUGCGUAGAGAUCGGGAGGAACACCGGCGGCGAAGGCGGCCUGCUGGGCCGUGACUGACGUUGAGGCUCGAAAGCGUGGGGAGCGAACAGGAUUAGAUACCCUAGUAGUC